GACGAACGCUGGCGGCGUGCUUAACACAUGCAAGUCGAACGGAAAGGCCCCUUUGGGGGUACUCGAGUGGCGAACGGGUGAGUAACACGUGAGUAACCUGCCCUUGACUUCGGGAUAACUUCAGGAAACUGGGGCUAAUACCGGAUAGGAAUCCUUGCUGCAUGGUGGGGGUUGGAAAGCUUCGGCGGUUUUGGAUGGACCCGCGGCUUAUCAGCUUGUUGGUGGGGUAGUGGCUUACCAAGGCUUUGACGGGUAGCCGGCCUGAGAGGGCGACCGGCCACAUUGGGACUGAGAUACGGCCCAGACUCCUACGGGAGGCAGCAGUGGGGAAUAUUGCACAAUGGGCGGAAGCCUGAUGCAGCAACGCCGCGUGCGGGAUGACGGCCUUCGGGUUGUAAACCGCUUUCAGCAGGGGCGAAGCUUGUGGUGACGGUACCUGCAGAAGAAGCACCGGCUAACUACGUG
Molecule: ribosomal RNA, 465 nt
Filed under: uncultured bacterium
Lineage: Bacteria
Description: partial 16S ribosomal RNA
Rfam family: Bacterial small subunit ribosomal RNA
Source: RNAcentral